AGUUUGUGGGUUUUGUUGAACUUGAGUUUGUGUCGUGUUUGAACUUGAGUUUGUUGUGUAUUUAAACUUGAGUUUGUGUCAUGUUUGAACUUAAGUUUGUGGUGUUUUUGAACUUGAGGUUGUGGAAAUUGUUAAACUUUAGAAUUGGGUAUUGGCUGAACUUGAGUUUGGUGUAUUUGAACUUGAGUUUGUGUCGUAUUUGAACUUGAGUUUGUAUUGUGUUUGAACUAGAUUUUGUGUGUUUGUUGAACUUGAGGUUGUGGCAAUAUUUAAACUUGAGAUUUGGGUGUUGGUUAAA
Non-coding RNA from Xyrichtys novacula (pearly razorfish), 298 nucleotides. Lineage: Eukaryota; Metazoa; Chordata; Actinopteri; Labriformes; Labridae. The record is from the annotation of a GenBank genome assembly.